UACGUAGGGUGCGAGCGUUAAUCGGAAUUACUGGGCGUAAAGCGUGCGCAGGCGGUUGUGCAAGACCGAUGUGAAAUCCCCGGGCUUAACCUGGGAAUGGCAUUGGUGACUGCACGGCUAGAGUGUGUCAGAGGGGGUAGAAUUCCACGUGUAGCAGUGAAAUGCGUAGAGAUGUGGAGGAAUACCGAUGGCGAAGGCAGCCCCCUGGGAUAACACUGACGCUCAUGCACGAAAGCGUGGGGAGCAAACAGG
Molecule: ribosomal RNA, 252 nt
Filed under: uncultured bacterium
Lineage: Bacteria
Description: partial 16S ribosomal RNA
Rfam family: Bacterial small subunit ribosomal RNA
Source: RNAcentral